Molecule: long non-coding RNA, 810 nt
Filed under: Mus caroli (Ryukyu mouse)
Lineage: Eukaryota; Metazoa; Chordata; Mammalia; Rodentia; Muridae
Description: lncRNA (MGP_CAROLIEiJ_G0003538.1)
Source: RNAcentral
GCAACUUGAAUUUAGGAAUAGGGAGAAAUGUCUGGGGGGAUUGCUGCUCUCAUCAAGAUAACUGCCUGGAAAGACUGUGAGCUGUUUGUUGUUCUUUUUAAAAAUAUUUUUAUGUGUAUUAGAGUUUUGCCUGCAGCUAUGCCAGAGUAAAAGUGUUACAUCUCCUGGAGCUGGAGUUACAGACAUUGUGAGCCUCCAUGUAGGUGCUGGGAAUUGAAGCUCUGUCCUCUGGAAGAGCAGCCAAUGCUCUUAACUGCUGAGCUAUUUCCCAGGAUGUCCUUAUGCUGCCCUGUGUGAGCAGAGGCCAGGCACUGCUAUGUGGAAACGAUCCCAACUUUGGUAGCCUCACAUAUGGGCUUGAAAAGACGACCAUGGGAACCUGACCACAACAGCAUGUACCAGCAACCAUUAUUUAAGGAACCCAGACGAGGUGAGCAGCCCUAACUCCUGUGGGUGACACUGUGUAUGACCUGGGGAAGGAGCAGGAAGAGAUGCCUGUACGUGACUCUCGUGGACAUCUCUCAAGAUGAGAACAGUUGAGCAAAGGUCAGCAGCAGAGUCAGAACUCUUCCCCCAUCACCACAGUGGUCCUCAAGCUGGAGCCAGACAGCCACCCAGGUGACCCAGCUUGGAACAUGUGCUUAGCGCCAUGUUGAGCCAACAACUGAGCCUGAGGACUAACUUCCUAAGUCUCAGUCCCUUUCUCACCGGUCGGGACACCAGUUCCCUGACUUGUCAUGCCUGCGAGAUGUCAGACCUGCCUUCCUUCCUCAUUUCCUCUACAACCCACAAGAACACAGCCAGGACCCC